GGGUGUUAUUCUGUAUGUUGGUAAAUUGAACACCAAUAAAAAAUAAAUUUAUUAAAAAAAAACAAAAAAAUUAAUGUUAUUUACAUGGCUCUAAUAAUACAAACCUUAAAUACAGAUUUAACUAAAAAUUGUGGAUGACGUAAUGGUAGUAGGGAUGGGAUGAGAGAAAGUAGUAUAAGAACUAAAUUUCAGUUAUCUUUAGUAAGAAUUUAGUAGGUAAUGAUUAAGGUGAAAAGUUGGGAAAUCACAAUGAGCAUAUAUUUUAAAAUAAGAUACAAAAAUACCUUCCUCAGAGAAGAAAUCUCUAACAGACUUGCAAGUGGUUUCCUGAGAGGAACAGAACUAGAGAUUUGGAAAGAGUUGGUACAAGGAACUGCUAUUUGUAUUGUAAGCCUUGUAUUACUACUGUCUUUUAAAGCUAUGUGUGUAUAUUACUUCAGCUUAAAAAUUAGAAAAAUGAAAGUCGGGACUUAGCAUUAGAUAGGAUCUUUAGUCUUUGUGUAGUAUCCUGGACUCCUGAGACAUGUCACCGGCUGACUAAGUCUUUGGACUUCCAGCCAUCCCCAGACUGUGCUAGGAACUCUUUUUUGGGCCUCUCUAAUUCUCCCUUGUUAUUUUUCUUAGUACAAGCCACAUGCAGCUCUCUACAGUUUGGUUAAGACAUUCUUUAGGAGUCUACCAGAGAGGACAGCUUCAUAUCUGAGGCUCUAUCUCCCUGAAUUUUUACUAAAUUCUAAAUAAUGGCUGAGACGUCAUCUUUUCACCUCAGGGGAAUGAGGACCUUCCUCCUCAACUCCAUCUACUUAAAAAUAGUCUCUUUUGUUUAAUAUCAAUGAGUUCAUUUUUAAAUAAAAUUUGUUACUACAGCA
Long non-coding RNA from Canis lupus familiaris (dog), 869 nucleotides. RefSeq lists it as uncharacterized. The transcript has 2 exons. The record is from RefSeq and is a predicted model, not a curated record. Lineage: Eukaryota; Metazoa; Chordata; Mammalia; Carnivora; Canidae.